UCUGGGGGAGCGCUUUGUCCACCUCAGCACAAAGCGCUUCCUUGAAGGCGCGCUUUGUUGACGUGGACAAAACGCUCCCCCAGGG
Non-coding RNA from Gossypium arboreum, 85 nucleotides. NCBI's taxonomy places the organism in Eukaryota, Viridiplantae, Streptophyta, Magnoliopsida, Malvales, Malvaceae. The record is from Rfam.